RNAcentral lists this ribosomal RNA (451 nucleotides) under uncultured bacterium. RNAcentral describes it as "partial 16S ribosomal RNA". It matches the Rfam family "Bacterial small subunit ribosomal RNA", at positions 29 to 523 of the family's 1533-position model. The record is from RNAcentral.
AACGAACGCUGGCGGCAGGCCUCAUACAUGCAAGUCUAACGGGUGUAGCAAUACAUCAGUGGCGCACGGGUGAGUAACGCGUGGGAAUAUGCCCUUGACUACGGAACAACCUCGGGAAACUGAGGCUAAUACCGUAUAAUGUCUCCGGACCAAAGAUUUAUCGGUCAAGGAUUAGCCCGCGUCUGAUUAGGUAGUUGGUGAGGUAACGGCUCACCAAGCCUACGAUCAGUAGCUGGACUGAGAGGAUGAUCAGCCACACUGGGACUGAGACACGGCCCAGACUCCUACGGGAGGCAGCAGUAAGGAAUAUUGGACAAUGGGGGAAACCCUGAUCCAGCCAUGCCGCGUGAGUGAAGAAGGCCUUCGGGUUGUAAAGCUCUUUUACCCCUGACGAUAAUGACGGUAAGGGGAGAAAAAGCCACGGCUAACUUCGUGCCAGCCGCCGCGGUAA